CAGCCGCCGCGGUAAUACCGGCGGCCCGAGUGGCGGUCACUAUUAUUGGGCUUAAAGCGUCCGUAGCCGGGUUGGGAAGUCCUCCGGGAAAUCUGGCCGCUUAACGGUCAGAAUGCCGGAGGAUACUCCCAGCCUAGGGAGCGGGGGAGGCCGAGGGGAUUCCCGGGGUAGGGGUGAAAUCCUAUAAUCCCGGGAGGACCGCCUGUGGCGAAGGCGCUCGGCUGGAACGCGUCCGACGGUGAGGGACGAAGGCCAGGGGAGCAAACCGGAUUAGAUACCCGGGUAGUCCUGGCUGUAAACGAUGCGGACUUUGUGUCGGACAAGCUAUGAGCUUGUCCGGUGCCGGAGGGAAACCGUUAAGUCCGCCGCCUGGGGAGUACGGCCGCAAGGCUGAAACUUAAAGGAAUUGGCGGG
RNAcentral lists this ribosomal RNA (414 nucleotides) under uncultured microorganism. RNAcentral describes it as "bacterial SSU rRNA". It matches the Rfam family "Archaeal small subunit ribosomal RNA", at positions 459 to 872 of the family's 1478-position model. The record is from RNAcentral.